Molecule: ribosomal RNA, 608 nt
Filed under: uncultured bacterium
Lineage: Bacteria
Description: bacterial SSU rRNA
Rfam family: Bacterial small subunit ribosomal RNA
Source: RNAcentral
UACCCUUUGGAAAGGAAUAGCCUCGGGAAACUGGGAGUAAUGCCUUAUAAGAUACGUUUGUCGCAUGGCAUUUGUAUUAAACGCUCCGGCGCCAUAGGAUGGACCCGCGUCCCAUUAGCUAGUUGGUGAGAUAACAGCUCACCAAGGCCACGAUGGGUAACCGGUCUGAGAGGGCGAACGGUCACACUGGAACUGAGACAUGGUCCAGACUCCUACGGGAGGCAGCAGUGGGGAAUAUUGCGCAAUGGGGGCAACCCUGACGCAGCAAUACCGCGUGAGUGAAGAAGGUUUUCGGAUCGUAAAGCUCUGUUAUUGGGGAAGAAAAAAAGACGGUACCCAAGAAGAAAGUUCCGGCUAACUACGUGCCAGCAGCCGCGGUAAUACGUAGGGAACAAGCGUUGUCCGGAUUUACUGGGCGUAAAGGGCACGCAGGCGGUUUUUUAAGUCAGAUGUGAAAGGCCACAGCUCAACUGUGGACAUGCAUUUGAAACUGAAAGACUUGAGUAUUGGAGAGGCAAGUGGAAUUCCUAGUGUAGCGGUGAAAUGCGUAGAUAUUAGGAGGAACACCGGUGGCGAAGGCGGCUUGCUGGACAAAUACUGACGCUGAG